RNAcentral lists this transfer RNA (77 nucleotides) under Actinobacteria bacterium 21-73-9. RNAcentral's name for it is "tRNA-Met". It matches the Rfam family "tRNA". From Rfam's summary of the family: Transfer RNA (tRNA) molecules are approximately 80 nucleotides in length. Their secondary structure includes four short double-helical elements and three loops (D, anti-codon, and T loops). The record is from RNAcentral. Lineage: Bacteria; Bacillati; Actinomycetota.
CGCGGGGUGGAGCAGUCUGGUAGCUCGUCGGGCUCAUAACCCGGAGGUCGCAGGUUCAAAUCCUGCCCCCGCCACCA